This 835-nucleotide ribosomal RNA is filed under the name Heth sp. 1 HMM2018. RNAcentral describes it as "SSU rRNA". It matches the Rfam family "Eukaryotic small subunit ribosomal RNA", at positions 74 to 916 of the family's 1831-position model. The record is from RNAcentral. Lineage: Eukaryota; Metazoa; Nematoda; Chromadorea; Rhabditida; Hethidae.
UAAAAAGGUGAAACCGCGAACGGCUCAUUACAACAGCUAUUAUAUACUUGAUGUUGACGUCCUACGUGGAUAACUGUGGUAAUUCUAGAGCUAAUACAUGCACCAAAGCUCCGAUUCUUGACGAGCGCAUCUAUUAGAUUAAAACCAAUCGGGUCUCGGCCCGUCAGUUGGUGACUCUGAAUAGCUAUGGCUGAUCGCAUGGUCUCGUACCGGCGACGUAUCAAUCAAGUGUCUGCCUUAUCAACUUUCGAUGGUAGUUUAUGUGCCUACCAUGGUUGUAACGGGUAACGGAGAAUAAGGGUUCGACUCCGGAGAGGGAGCCUGAGAAACGGCUACCACAUCCAAGGAAGGCAGCAGGCGCGCAAAUUACCCACUCUCGGCAUGAGGAGGUAGUGACGAAAAAUAACGAGACCGUUCUCUAUGAGGCCGGUUAUCGGAAUGGGUACAAUUUAAACCCGUUAACGAGGAUCUAUGAGAGGGCAAGUCUGGUGCCAGCAGCCGCGGUAAUUCCAGCUCUCAAAGUGUAUAUCGUCAUUGCUGCGGUUAAAAAGCUCGUAGUUGGAUCUGCGCCUCCGGAUCCGGUCCGCCCACUGGGUGAGAACUGGACUCCGGGGCUAGUUCUGCUGGUUUUCCCUACGUUGCCUUCAUCGGUCGCGUAGGGUGGCUAGCGAGUUUACUUUGAAAAAAUUAGAGUGCUUCACGCGGGCUUUUGCCUGAAUACUCGUGCAUGGAAUAAUAGAAUAGGAUCUCGGUUCUAUUUUGUUGGUUUUCUGAGCUGAGAUAAUGGUUAAGAGGGACGGACGGGGGCAUUCGUAUCGCUGCGUGAGAGGUGAAA